ACAGUACACAUACCGGAUACAGUACACAUACCAGAUACAGUACACACACCGGAUACGAUGUGUAAGAUAAUAAGCUAAUUGAUUCUAUGUACGUAUCAUGUGGCAGAAACGGACUGUCAGAUGCAGAGAUCCUUCUGCCCAUCUCGAUCUUCCUGCUGCAGCCUGCAGAGAUGCUGGGGCUCCUUCUUAGUGUUACUCAGUGUCCAUUCUCUGCACAACCUCCUCCACCAGUUCAACAGCGAGUGGAGUGACUUUUUCUGUCAGGACAGAGGUGGUGCCCUUCUUGUAGCGGUACACUCCUUCCCUGCAAGAACCAACAACACAAGUGGUCAGGGGCCAGGAUGUGGGCCUUGCUGGUUAGGUCAGCAUUAAUGCCCAUAAUUUCCCAGAAGGCAGUCACGAAUCAACGACAUUGCUGUGGGUCUGAAGUCACCAGAAGACCAGACCAGAUGGUGGAGAAAAAGUGGAGAGUGUGGUUAAACAGAAGUAUCCUGCUGCUGAAAGUUUCACAAAGCCCAG
Molecule: long non-coding RNA, 519 nt
Organism: Stegostoma tigrinum
Lineage: Eukaryota; Metazoa; Chordata; Chondrichthyes; Orectolobiformes; Stegostomatidae
Exons: 3
Source: RefSeq, a predicted model, not a curated record